This 193-nucleotide small nuclear RNA is filed under the name Mus pahari (shrew mouse). RNAcentral describes it as "predicted gene, 25259 (MGP_PahariEiJ_G0033097.1)". It matches the Rfam family "U2 spliceosomal RNA". Rfam says of the family: U2 is a small nuclear RNA (snRNA) component of the spliceosome (involved in pre-mRNA splicing). Lineage: Eukaryota; Metazoa; Chordata; Mammalia; Rodentia; Muridae. The record is from RNAcentral.
AUCACUUCCCUGCCUUGUGGCCCAGAUGGAGUGUUGUUGUAUCUGCUCUUACCAGGUUAAUAUCUGAUAUGUCCUCUGUCCGAGGACAAUAUAUUAAAUGGAUUUUGGGAGCUGGGAGAUGGGACAGCAGCUUGCUGUGUCCAAGACACUCCUUGGCCUGGCGUUGCAGUAGUCCAGGAACGGUGCCCCCACC